This 295-nucleotide unclassified non-coding RNA is filed under the name uncultured Sphingomonadaceae bacterium. RNAcentral's name for it is "contains 16S-23S intergenic spacer region". Lineage: Bacteria; Pseudomonadati; Pseudomonadota; Alphaproteobacteria; Sphingomonadales; Sphingomonadaceae. The record is from RNAcentral.
CGGGACUACAGGGGUUUCUAAUCCUGUUUGCUCCCCACGCUUUCGCACCUCAGCGUCAAUACUUGUCCAGCGAGCCGCCUUCGCCACUGGUGUUCUUCCGAAUAUCUACGAAUUUCACCUCUACACUCGGAAUUCCACUCGCCUCUCCAAGAUUCUAGCAAUCCAGUCUCAAAGGCAGUUCCGGGGUUGAGCCCCGGGAUUUUACCCCUGACUUAAAUGUCCGCCUACGCUCCCUUUACGCCCAGUAAUUCCGAGCAACGCUAGCCCCCUUCGUAUUACCGCGGCUGCUGGCACA